UACAGAGGGUGCUAGCUUUGUUCGGAAUCAUUGGGCGUAAAGGGCGUGUAGGCGGUUUGUUAAGUCAUGUGUGAAAUCCCUCGGCUCAACCGGGGAACGACGCAUGAAACUGGCAAGCUAGAGUACCAAAGAGGGGGGUGGAAUUCCCGGUGUAGCGGUGAAAUGCGUAGAUAUCAGGAAGAACACCCGUGGCGAAAGCGGCUCUCUGGAACGGUACUGACGCUGAGACGCGAAAGCAUGGGGAGUGAACAGG
This 253-nucleotide ribosomal RNA is filed under the name uncultured bacterium. RNAcentral's name for it is "partial 16S ribosomal RNA". It matches the Rfam family "Bacterial small subunit ribosomal RNA", at positions 524 to 776 of the family's 1533-position model. The record is from RNAcentral.